CCAAACGACUCUCGGCAACGGAUAUCUCGGCUCUCGCAUCGAUGAAGAACGUAGCGAAAUGCAAUACUUGGUGUGAAUUGCAGAAUCCCGUGAACCAUCAAGUUUUUGAACGCAAGUUGCACCCGAAGCCGUCAGGCCAAUGGCACGUCUGCCUGGGCAUCACGC
RNAcentral lists this ribosomal RNA (165 nucleotides) under Fleroya rubrostipulata. RNAcentral describes it as "5.8S ribosomal RNA". It matches the Rfam family "5.8S ribosomal RNA". Rfam says of the family: 5.8S ribosomal RNA (5.8S rRNA) is a component of the large subunit of the eukaryotic ribosome. Lineage: Eukaryota; Viridiplantae; Streptophyta; Magnoliopsida; Gentianales; Rubiaceae. The record is from RNAcentral.